RNAcentral lists this ribosomal RNA (119 nucleotides) under Pteropus alecto (black flying fox). The record is from RNAcentral. Lineage: Eukaryota; Metazoa; Chordata; Mammalia; Chiroptera; Pteropodidae.
GUCUAUGGCCAUGCUACUCUGAACAAACCUGAUACCAUCUGAUCUCAGAAGCUAAGCAGGGUCAGGUCUGGUUACUACUUCGAUGGGAGACCACCCAGGAAGACCAGGUGCCGCAGGCA